Molecule: ribosomal RNA, 716 nt
Filed under: uncultured bacterium
Lineage: Bacteria
Description: bacterial SSU rRNA
Rfam family: Bacterial small subunit ribosomal RNA
Source: RNAcentral
GUCGAACGGGAAAAUUUCAUUGAGACUUCGGUGGAUUUGAUCUAUUUCUAGUGGCGGACGGGUGAGUAACGCGUGGGUAACCUGCCUUAUACAGGGGGAUAACAGUCAGAAAUGGCUGCUAAUACCGCAUAAGCGCACAGAGCUGCAUGGCUCAGUGUGAAAAACUCCGGUGGUAUAAGAUGGACCCGCGUUGGAUUAGCUAGUUGGUGAGGUAACGGCCCACCAAGGCGACGAUCCAUAGCCGACCUGAGAGGGUGACCGGCCACAUUGGGACUGAGACACGGCCCAAACUCCUACGGGAGGCAGCAGUGGGGAAUAUUGCACAAUGGGCGAAAGCCUGAUGCAGCGACGCCGCGUGAGCGAAGAAGUAUUUCGGUAUGUAAAGCUCUAUCAGCAGGGAAGAUAAUGACGGUACCUGACUAAGAAGCACCGGCUAAAUACGUGCCAGCAGCCGCGGUAAUACGUAUGGUGCAAGCGUUAUCCGGAUUUACUGGGUGUAAAGGGAGCGCAGGCGGUGCGGCAAGUCUGAUGUGAAAGCCCGGGGCUCAACCCCGGUACUGCAUUGGAAACUGUCGUACUAGAGUGUCGGAGGGGUAAGCGGAAUUCCUAGUGUAGCGGUGAAAUGCGUAGAUAUUAGGAGGAACACCAGUGGCGAAGGCGGCUUACUGGACGAUAACUGACGCUGAGGCUCGAAAGCGUGGGGAGCAAACAGGAUU